Molecule: ribosomal RNA, 241 nt
Filed under: uncultured bacterium
Lineage: Bacteria
Description: partial 16S ribosomal RNA
Rfam family: Bacterial small subunit ribosomal RNA
Source: RNAcentral
UACGUAGGGGGCAAGCGUUGUCCGGAAUUACUGGGCGUAAAGCGCGUGUAGGCUGCUUCGCAAGUCGGAUGUGAAAGCCCUGGGCUCAACCCAGGAAGUGCAUUCGAAACUGCAGAGCUGGAGUCCUGGAGAGGAAGGCGGAAUUCUCGGUGUAGAGGUGAAAUUCGUAGAUAUCGAGAGGAACACCGGUGGCGAAGGCGGCCUUCUGGGACAGUGACUGACGCUGAGACGGCGAAAAGCG